RNAcentral lists this ribosomal RNA (655 nucleotides) under Limosilactobacillus reuteri. RNAcentral's name for it is "bacterial SSU rRNA". It matches the Rfam family "Bacterial small subunit ribosomal RNA", at positions 64 to 692 of the family's 1533-position model. The record is from RNAcentral. Lineage: Bacteria; Bacillati; Bacillota; Bacilli; Lactobacillales; Lactobacillaceae.
UGAUUGAUGGUGCUUGCACCUGAUUGACGAUGGAUCACCAGUGAGUGGCGGACGGGUGAGUAACACGUAGGUAACCUGCCCCGGAGCGGGGGAUAACAUUUGGAAACAGAUGCUAAUACCGCAUAACAACAAAAGCUGCAUGGCUUUUGUUUGAAAGAUGGCUUUGGCUAUCACUCUGGGAUGGACCUGCGGUGCAUUAGCUAGUUGGUAAGGUAACGGCUUACCAAGGCGAUGAUGCAUAGCCGAGUUGAGAGACUGAUCGGCCACAAUGGAACUGAGACACGGUCCAUACUCCUACGGGAGGCAGCAGUAGGGAAUCUUCCACAAUGGGCGCAAGCCUGAUGGAGCAACACCGCGUGAGUGAAGAAGGGUUUCGGCUCGUAAAGCUCUGUUGUUGGAGAAGAACGUGCGUGAGAGUAACUGUUCACGCAGUGACGGUAUCCAACCAGAAAGUCACGGCUAACUACGUGCCAGCAGCCGCGGUAAUACGUAGGUGGCAAGCGUUAUCCGGAUUUAUUGGGCGUAAAGCGAGCGCAGGCGGUUGCUUAGGUCUGAUGUGAAAGCCUUCGGCUUAACCGAAGAAGUGCAUCGGAAACCGGGCGACUUGAGUGCAGAAGAGGACAGUGGAACUCCAUGUGUAGCGGUGGAAUGCGUA